GUCUACGGCCAUGCCACCCCGAACAAGCCUGAUGUCUGAUCUCGGAAGCUAAGCAGGGUCGGGCCUGGUUAGUACUUGGAUGGGAGACCACCUAGGAAGACCAGGUGCUGUAGGCA
RNAcentral lists this ribosomal RNA (116 nucleotides) under Pteropus alecto (black flying fox). Lineage: Eukaryota; Metazoa; Chordata; Mammalia; Chiroptera; Pteropodidae. The record is from RNAcentral.